GUGAGGAAUAUUGCGCAAUGGAGGCAACUCUGACGCAGCCAUGCCGCGUGCAGGAAGAAGGCGCUACGCGUUGUAAACUGCUUUUAACCGGGAAGAAACCCCAGGACGUGUCCUGGGUUGACGGUACCGGAGGAAUAAGCACCGGCUAACUUCGUGCCAGCAGCCGCGGUAAUACGAAGGGUGCAAGCGUUAUCCGGAUUCAUUGGGUUUAAAGGGUGCGUAGGCGGAGAGUUAAGUCAGUGGUGAAAUCCUGCAGCUUAACUGUAGACUUGCCAUUGAUACUGGCGCUCUUGAGUGCGCUUGAAGUGGGCGGAAUGUGCCGUGUAGCGGUGAAAUGCUUAGAUAUGGCACAGAACACCAAUUGCGAAGGCAGCUCACUAAGGCGAUACUGACGCUGAGGCACGAAAGCGUGGGGAUCGAACAGGAUUAGAUACCCGUGUAGUCC
RNAcentral lists this ribosomal RNA (445 nucleotides) under uncultured bacterium. RNAcentral's name for it is "partial 16S ribosomal RNA". It matches the Rfam family "Bacterial small subunit ribosomal RNA", at positions 354 to 796 of the family's 1533-position model. The record is from RNAcentral.